CCUACGGGAGGCAGCAGUGGGGAAUAUUGCACAAUGGGGGAAACCCUGAUGCAGCGACGCCGCGUGAGUGAAGAAGUAAUUCGUUACGUAAAGCUCUAUCAGCAGGGAAGAAAAUGACGGUACCUGAGUAAGAAGCCCCGGCUAACUACGUGCCAGCAGCCGCGGUAAUACGUAGGGGGCAAGCGUUAUCCGGAUUUACUGGGUGUAAAGGGAGCGUAGACGGCAGCACAAGUCUGGAGUGAAAUCCCGGGGCUUAACCCCGUAACUGCUUUGGAAACUGGCGAACUAGAGUGCGGGAGGGGUAAGCGGAAUUCCUAGUGUAGCGGUGAAAUGCGUAGAUAUUAGGAGGAACACCGGUGGCGAAGGCGGCUUACUGGACCGUAACUGACGUUGAGGCUCGAAAGCGUGGGGAGCAAACAGGAUUAGAUACCCUAGUAGUC
This 440-nucleotide ribosomal RNA is filed under the name uncultured bacterium. RNAcentral's name for it is "partial 16S ribosomal RNA". It matches the Rfam family "Bacterial small subunit ribosomal RNA", at positions 338 to 795 of the family's 1533-position model. The record is from RNAcentral.